This 253-nucleotide ribosomal RNA is filed under the name uncultured bacterium. Its description in RNAcentral is "partial 16S ribosomal RNA". It matches the Rfam family "Bacterial small subunit ribosomal RNA", at positions 524 to 776 of the family's 1533-position model. The record is from RNAcentral.
UACGUAGGGUCCGAGCGUUGUCCGGAAUUACUGGGCGUAAAGCGCGCGCAGGCGGCCCGCGAGGUGUCACGUGAAAGCCCCGGGCUCAACCCGGGAGGGUCGUGGCAAACCGGCGGGCUUGAGGCCGGUAGAGGUGGGUGGAACUCCUGGUGGAGUGGUGAAAUGCGUAGAGAUCAGGAAGAACACCCGUGGCGAAGGCGGCCCACUGGGCCGGUACUGACGCUGAGGCGCGAAAGCGUGGGUAGCAAACAGG